Molecule: small RNA, 66 nt
Filed under: Ichthyenterobacterium magnum
Lineage: Bacteria; Pseudomonadati; Bacteroidota; Flavobacteriia; Flavobacteriales; Flavobacteriaceae
Description: Flavo-1 RNA
Source: RNAcentral
UUACGUUAGGGAUUGAAGCGACAUCCUUUUGUUUUUUUAAAGAUAUAGCUGAAAGCCAAACCCUUG